CUGGCUCAGAAUCAACGCUGGCGGCGUGCCUAACACAUGCAAGUCGAACGCGAAAGUGGAGCAAUCCAUGAGUAGAGUGGCAAACGGGUGAGUAACACGUGGGUGACCUGCCUUCGAGUGGGGGAUAACGUUCCGAAAGGAGCGCUAAUACCGCAUGACAUUCCGCGGUUGGAGACGUGGAAAUCAAAGCCGGGGAUCGCAAGACCUGGCGCUCGAAGAGGGGCCCGCGGCCGAUUAGCUAGUUGGUGAGGUAACGGCUCACCAAGGCGACGAUCGGUAUCCGGCCUGAGAGGGCGGACGGACACACUGGGACUGAGACACGGCCCAGACCCCUACGGGAGGCAGCAGUGGGGAAUUGUUCGCAAUGGGCGCAAGCCUGACGACGCAACGCCGCGUGGAGGACGAAGAUCUUCGGGUCGUAAACUCCUUUCGAUCGGGAAAAACGCCUUCGGGGCUAACAUCCUCGAAGGGUGAUGGUACCGAGAGAAGAAGCCCCGGCUAACUCCGUGCCAGCAGCCGCGGUAAUACGGGGGGGGCAAGCGUUGUUCGGAAUUACUGGGCGUAAAGGGCCAGUAGGCGGCAAACUAAGUCACACGUGAAAUCCCCAGGCUUAACCUGGGAACUGCGUGUGAUACUGGAUGGCUUGAAUUCGGGAGAGGGAUGCAGAAUUCCAGGUGUAGCGGUGAAAUGCGUAGAUAUCUGGAGGAAUACCGGUGGCGAAGGCGGCAUCCUGGACCGACAUUGACGCUGGACGGCGAAAGCUAGGGGAGCAAACGGGAUUAGAUACCCCGGUAGUCCUAGCCCU
RNAcentral lists this ribosomal RNA (805 nucleotides) under uncultured Acidobacteriota bacterium. RNAcentral describes it as "bacterial SSU rRNA". It matches the Rfam family "Bacterial small subunit ribosomal RNA", at positions 19 to 803 of the family's 1533-position model. The record is from RNAcentral. Lineage: Bacteria; Pseudomonadati; Acidobacteriota.